This 232-nucleotide long non-coding RNA is filed under the name Oryza sativa (Asian cultivated rice). Its description in RNAcentral is "long non-coding RNA (OSAT_LNC000381)". Lineage: Eukaryota; Viridiplantae; Streptophyta; Magnoliopsida; Poales; Poaceae. The record is from RNAcentral.
CUGGAGGAGCUUGGCCAAGAAAGAGACCAUCUGUUUCUGCCGAUCUUCCGCUGAUUCUAGCCUCUGAUUCAGCGUGCUCAUUUGUUCAAUUGUCUGAAGGUGCUCUUGCUUCAGCCUGGUCACCUCCUGAAGCAAUGCACUCUUCUCCCUUCUCAGUGUGUUGAGUUCAGGGUCUAAACCGGAUUCACCAGAAGAGCCAGGCUGAAGACCACUUUGUUGUGUUGGUGAGGAC